This 683-nucleotide long non-coding RNA is filed under the name Homo sapiens (human). RNAcentral's name for it is "HSALNT0119817". Lineage: Eukaryota; Metazoa; Chordata; Mammalia; Primates; Hominidae. The record is from RNAcentral.
CGACGUUAAGAGGAAACAAUGUUUCUUUUAGGACAUGCUGCAACGGAAAAAGACAGGGUCUUGAACUCCUAGCCUCAAGUGAUCCUACUGCCUCCACCUCCCAAAGUGUUGAAAUUACCGGCCUGAGCCACUGUGUCUGGCUCCUAUGUUGUCCUUAUAAGAACACCAUGUGAAGAUACAGAGACACACAGGGAAAAAGCCCAUGCGAAGACAGAGACAGAGACUGAAGUGCUGCAGCUACAAGCCAAAGAAUGCUGAGGAUUGCUGGCAACCACCAGAAGCUAGGGGAGAGGCAUGUGUGGUUUCUGCUGCAGACCCUCCAGAAGGAACUAACCCUGCUGACAACUUGAUUUAGGAGUGCUGGCUUCCUGAAUUGUGAGAGAAUAAAUUUCUGUUCUUUAAAGCCACCAAGUUUGCAGUAGUUUGUUAUGGUAGCCCUAGGAAAUACAGGGGCGUUGGGGGAAAUAGGGAACCAUUGCUAAUCAGUACAAGGUUUCUUUUUGGGGUGAUGAAAAUGUUCUAAAAUUGUGGUGAUGGUUGCGUAACUCUGUGGAUAUAUUAAAAACCACUGAAUAAUACAUUUUUUUUUUUUUUUUUUUUUUUUUAGUCUUGCUCUGUUGCCCAGGCUGGGGUGCAGUGGCUUGAUCUCAGCUCACUGCAACCUCUGCCUGUCAGGUUCAAGC